This 302-nucleotide small nuclear RNA is filed under the name Castor canadensis (American beaver). Its description in RNAcentral is "7SK RNA (ENSCCNG00000020710.1)". It matches the Rfam family "7SK RNA". From Rfam's summary of the family: 7SK was discovered as an abundant small nuclear RNA in the mid-70s but a possible function has only recently been suggested. Lineage: Eukaryota; Metazoa; Chordata; Mammalia; Rodentia; Castoridae. The record is from Rfam by way of RNAcentral.
GGAUGUGAGGGCAAUCUGGCUGCAACAUCUGUCAUCCCAAUGACCACCAGGGUUGGUGUGGCUGAUCUGACUAGCUAGGCAGGUAUCUCCCUCCCUCAACAUUCCAUGUGCGUCCCUCCGGAAGCUGUGUGCUCAGAGAGGACACCAUCCCCAAUAAAGGAGGGCAGUUCUUCAGUCAAGGAUAUACGAGUAGCUGUGCUUUCCUGCUACAACCUCCAAACAAGCUCUCAAGAAAGAAAAUGGAGUUUGUCAGUUAAUUUAAGAGGAUUGUGUUUAAAAACCAGGAUGUGUAUUCAGUUUUU